ACCCAGAUGACGAGUCCCGAAUAGGACGAAAUACCCGUCCUAGAU
RNAcentral lists this non-coding RNA (45 nucleotides) under Schistosoma mansoni. Lineage: Eukaryota; Metazoa; Platyhelminthes; Trematoda; Strigeidida; Schistosomatidae. The record is from RNAcentral.